Molecule: ribosomal RNA, 251 nt
Filed under: uncultured prokaryote
Description: partial 16S rRNA
Rfam family: Bacterial small subunit ribosomal RNA
Source: RNAcentral
ACGUAGGUGGCAAGCGUUGUCCGGAAUUAUUGGGCGUAAAGAGCGCGUAGGCGGGAUGGACAGUCUGUUGUGAAAUUGCGGGGCUCAACCCCGUAUCGGCAAUGGAAACUUCCAUUCUUGAGUGCAGGAGAGGAAAGUGGAAUUCCCAGUGUAGCGGUGAAAUGCGUAGAUAUUGGGAGGAACACCAGUGGCGAAGGCGACUUUCUGGACUGUGUCUGACGCUGAGGUGCGAAAGCUAGGGGAGCGAACGG